Prunus avium (sweet cherry) is the source of this 1231-nucleotide non-coding RNA. The record is from RefSeq and is a predicted model, not a curated record. NCBI's taxonomy places the organism in Eukaryota, Viridiplantae, Streptophyta, Magnoliopsida, Rosales, Rosaceae.
UCCCUGAUUUUGAGCUCCCAUCACAAAUCCAAACUCUAGAGAUCACUGGGUGGCCUAAGCUCAAGUCUCUGCCUCAACAACAAAUUCAACACUGCACUUGUCUAAAAGCAUUGUCCAUAGAGUCUUUCCACAGCGUGGAGGCUCUUCCAGAGUGGUUGUGUAACCUUACAUCUCUUACCACCCUGAGUAUUCACAACUGUAAGAAUCUGGUGUCUCUUCCUGCCGUUGAAGUUAUGCAACGCCUCACCAAAUUGCAAAAGCUAGUGAUUGCUGCAUGUCCCCGUCUAGGGGGAAGAUCCACCCUUGAGAGCGGCCCAGAAUGGCACAAGAUUUCUCACAUCCCACAUAUAAUUGUUUACGGAUGCGAAAGAUCGGAAUCUUUUAGUGAUGAUGAUUCGACCCCUUCACAAACUAGCUAGCACAGUUGGAGCACAAAAAGGAUCUUAUGCAAUUGGAAGAACAAAUAAUGCGCAUUAGGUGCAAACUUAGUCCAGAGGGGAUGGGGAUGCAUUUGCUAUAGAUCCUUGCGUGAGGUAGGUGAAGGUGUCCAUCAGAUGGAUUUGUGAAGCUGAUCAACGACGAUGUGUCAUGGCAAGCACAAACUGAUAAGGAUGAAAUAUGGUGGUUUGCAGGAAUCAUGAGAUAAUAUUGAUACAGACCAUUAUGUGUUGGCUGCCAGUGGUAGUAAUCUUGUAUGAGCUAGUUCUUUGCUUGUUAUGGCUGAAGAUCACAGGGUAGCCAAAGCUCAAGUCUCUACCUCAACAACAAAUUCAACACUGCACUUGUCUACAAGAUUUGUAUAUACAGGAUUUCGACAGCAUGGAGGCUCUUCUGGAGUGGUUGGGGUAACCUUACAUCUCUUACCCAUCUGAGGAUUAAGGCGUGUGAGAAUCUGGUGUAUCUUCCUGCCGUUGAGGUUAUGCAAUGCCUCACCAAACUUGUUACAUGUCCCGGUCUAGGGGGAAGAUCCGCCCUCCUGAGCGGCCCAGAAUGGCACAAGACUUCUCACAUCCCAUGUAUAUCAGUAAGUUGACCCACUCCCACUUCGAAGAUGUAACCCAACCUAUUACGAGCAUUCUUCUUCAAGUGGUGAUGAUUCUGAGAGUGAGCCUACUCUUCUUCUCUAAUUGAAUUUGGCACAAUUUGUUGGAUUUCACUUCCGGAAUAGGUGCAAACUUAGUCCAGGUACUUCACUUCAGUUCCCUUUCCCCUGCAUCGUUAUUUACUCAUU